RNAcentral lists this ribosomal RNA (1534 nucleotides) under Escherichia coli. RNAcentral describes it as "bacterial SSU rRNA". It matches the Rfam family "Bacterial small subunit ribosomal RNA". Lineage: Bacteria; Pseudomonadati; Pseudomonadota; Gammaproteobacteria; Enterobacterales; Enterobacteriaceae. The record is from RNAcentral.
UUGAAGAGUUUGAUCAUGGCUCAGAUUGAACGCUGGCGGCAGGCCUAACACAUGCAAGUCGAACGGUAACAGGAAGAAGCUUGCUUCUUUGCUGACGAGUGGCGGACGGGUGAGUAAUGUCUGGGAAACUGCCUGAUGGAGGGGGAUAACUACUGGAAACGGUAGCUAAUACCGCAUAACGUCGCAAGACCAAAGAGGGGGACCUUCGGGCCUCUUGCCAUCGGAUGUGCCCAGAUGGGAUUAGCUAGUAGGUGGGGUAACGGCUCACCUAGGCGACGAUCCCUAGCUGGUCUGAGAGGAUGACCAGCCACACUGGAACUGAGACACGGUCCAGACUCCUACGGGAGGCAGCAGUGGGGAAUAUUGCACAAUGGGCGCAAGCCUGAUGCAGCCAUGCCGCGUGUAUGAAGAAGGCCUUCGGGUUGUAAAGUACUUUCAGCGGGGAGGAAGGGGUAAAGUUAAUACCUUUGCUCAUUGACGUUACCCGCAGAAGAAGCACCGGCUAACUCCGUGCCAGCAGCCGCGGUAAUACGGAGGGUGCAAGCGUUAAUCGGAAUUACUGGGCGUAAAGCGCACGCAGGCGGUUUGUUAAGUCAGAUGUGAAAUCCCCGGGCUCAACCUGGGAACUGCAUCUGAUACUGGCAAGCUUGAGUCUCGUAGAGGGGGGUAGAAUUCCAGGUGUAGCGGUGAAAUGCGUAGAGAUCUGGAGGAAUACCGGUGGCGAAGGCGGCCCCCUGGACGAAGACUGACGCUCAGGUGCGAAAGCGUGGGGAGCAAACAGGAUUAGAUACCCGGUAGUCCACGCCGUAAACGAUGUCGACUUGGAGGUUGUGCCCUUGAGGCGUGGCUUCCGGAGCUAACGCGUUAAGUCGACCGCCGGGGAGUACGGCCGCAAGGUUAAAACUCAAAUGAAUUGACGGGGCCCGCACAAGCGGUGGAGCAUGUGGUUUAAUUCGAUGCAACGCGAAGAACCUUACCUGGUCUUGACAUCCACGGAAGUUUUCAGAGAUGAGAAUGUGCCUUCGGGAACCGUGAGACAGGUGCUGCAUGGCUGUCGUCAGCUCGUGUUGUGAAAUGUUGGGUUAAGUCCCGCAACGAGCGCAACCCUUAUCCUUUGUUGCCAGCGGUCCGGCCGGGAACUCAAAGGAGACUGCCAGUGAUAAACUGGAGGAAGGUGGGGAUGACGUCAAGUCAUCAUGGCCCUUACGACCAGGGCUACACACGUGCUACAAUGGCGCAUACAAAGAGAAGCGAACUCGCGAGAGCAAGCGGACCUCAUAAAGUGCGUCGUAGUCCGGAUUGGAGUCUGCAACUCGACUCCAUGAAGUCGGAAUCGCUAGUAAUCGUGGAUCAGAAUGCCACGGUGAAUACGUUCCCGGGCCUUGUACACACCGCCCGUCACACCAUGGGAGUGGGUUGCAAAAGAAGUAGGUAGCUUAACCUUCGGGAGGGCGCUUACCACUUUGUGAUUCAUGACUGGGGUGAAGUCGUAACAAGGUAACCGUAGGGGAACCUGCGGUUGGAUCACCUCCUU